GAUUAUGGGAGUGACACAGAUGAUCGAAGAUCCUACUCCGGAAUGGUUGCAGUUAUUGAUGGGAAUGUCAUCAACUGGCGAUCUAAAAAGCAGCAAUGUGUUUCGUUGUCUACCAUGGAAUCGGAGUAUAUAGCAUUAUGUCACAGUGCUAAAGAGGCCGUCUGGCUCGGUCAAACCCUGUCUGAUCUUGGAUUUAUCUUGCACUUUGCCAAACCACUCACAAUCUACUGUGACAAUCGAUCAGCCAUAGACUUCUCUAAGAAUAACAUUGAGAACAAUCGUUCCAAGCACAUCUCAGUUCAGUUCCACUACACAAGAGAUAAGAUAAACUCCGGUGAUAUCGUUGUCCAGUUUGUCAACACCAAGGAAAACAUGGCCGAUAUCCAAACCAAGACUUUAAAGAAGUUGAUGCACAGAGAUGCAUGUUUCCAGAUGAAUUUGAAGUCGCAAGUGGGGGAAUGCUGAACUGCUACUUCAAAAAUACAGCGCGCCUACGUCACAGGAUGACGUAGCAUUCGAGGAGCGUCCAGCCACCACCACUAGAGGCGCUCUGCCCUCUCCAUCACUUCCUGUUAUGUCUUCGCUUAUACUACCUGUUUCAUGUUCUCGUGAUAUAUUAAAACCUAUAUAUAUUUCAAUCUAUUCUCAAUUUGAUUGAACCACCGAUCCAACAGUUCCCAAACUGGCGACAUGUAGAAGUCCCCCGCUUGACCUCAAUUUAGACGAGGGGCCCACUGUAAUUAGAUCCGGAAAUGGGGGAACUCUCACCCUCUGUUUGCAUGGGGUAUUUUUAUUGCCGCGCGGAGCUACUCGCUUCCUGUCUCCUAAUUGCUUUUGUUCAACUUGAAUCUUUUUAAUGGUUCUCUACUUAUUUUACUGGAGUGGGAUUUUUUUUUUUCUUUCUUUCAGCACUGAUUUGUUACCUUUCAGUUACUCCUAUCUCCUCGGAAUUUAUUUAGAUUUUCUGCAAAAAUGUUUCCUAAAAUUAUAAGAAGUUUUACAAAUGCUUGUCCUAUAUUAAAAACUGCCUCUUGCAGCUCGAAAACUCUAUUAGAAGGCAUGGUAUAGGUUAACAAUUAACUAAGGAAUAAAACUGGGGUACAUUUGUAGGGUAGGACUAGCAGACAAAGGAUAAAAAUCAGAUGAAAGAUAGGGUAUCGAUACAUGUUCUCCCAUAUUGUUGUAAAUGGUGACUCUGAAAUAUUUGCUCGAACCUUAUUCAUUGUUGGCCGUUCAAUUUCGCACUGCUUGUUAUCGUUGGGGAGUGGCGUGUAUCGUUUUUGAAACAGAAUGGUAGGAUUUAAAUGAUUGUCAGGUUCGCAGUUCUUAACAUCGGGGAAGAAUGGCGUAAAUCGCCUUGUUGAAAAAAUGGCAGGGUUUAAAUGCCUGAAAGGCUCGCUGUUUGUGGGUUUGAAUCUUAAUGGCUCUGCUGGGAAUAAUUCGGGUGUGAAAUGCUUAAACGGGAACGUGUAAUCGGGCUUGUGCCUUAUAUGGCAUAUUCUAACGGCCGGCGGUGAUAUAUAACGGACUGUUUCUGUAUACAGCUUAAGCUUGCUGACGUGGAUCGUAUCAGUGUCUCUUUGAAGAGGUUGAUUUGGUCGAUCUAUAUGGACCACAUUCGGUGAAAUAAUUUCUAAUACUGUGUGGGGUCCUGUGAAAUAUGGCGCGAGUUUCCCUGUAUUGGGGUGGUGAUAUAAUUUAACUAACACUAGAUCACCUACUUCGAAAUGUGGUUGUUUGUGUCGUUGAUCAUAAGUGUUUUUGUCCUGAAGAUGCUUGUUUUGUGUUCGUGUGUGUGCAAUCUUUCUAGCUCUGUCGAUAUCUGGGUAAGGUGUGCUAUGGUCAGAGAGUUCUGGGGGUAGGAUGCCAAACAUUAGGUAGAUGGGUGGAAAACCUGUGGUAGAGUGUGGGGUUUUGUUAUAUAUGACUGUAACUCUUUUGACCAACUUGGUCCAUGCGAUCUUAGGAUUUUCUAAAUGUAACAGCCUAAGUUUUCCCGUGAGGGUGGCGUUCAGGCGUUCACAUAGACCCUUGGCUUGUGGAUUGUUGCUGGUUGUGAGUAGUGGGUGGAUGUUUCUAUUAAGUAGGAAACUACUAAAUUUUGGCGAAGUGAAGGCAGAGCUCUAUCCGUAAGGAGGCGUUUCGGAGAACCAUCCUGUAAUACUCGCUUAAGCACCUGUUGGUAGGUGGUGAUGCUGGUGGAUUUAGAUGGAAAAGUCCACGCGUAGCGCGAAAAAAGGUCGACUACAACAUGGAGGUGUAUUUUGGUGUUGCCAUAUUUGGCAAAUCCUGCUAUGGUGUCUAGGGAUAAUAGGUCGAAGGGUUCUUUGGCUUCCGGAGGUUGACUUAACUCCCCGUAAGUGGGUCCCAAUGGACGUUUUGUUAACUGGCAGGUGGGGCAGGUCUUAACCUUUUGUUUAAUAUCUUUUGACAUACCUUGCCAGUAAUAUUGCGUGGAGAUGAGUCGUGACAUUUGUGAAAUACCGGGGUGGUUAUAGUGUGCGUGUACUGUUUGUAAGAGUUGUUGUAUGAGUGGUUUUGGAAUUAUAAUCUUGGUUACACCUUUUCGGGAAACUGUAUGUAAUCCAUUACGAUCAAUGGUCAGACUAGACUCUCUCGAUGGAGGAGAUUGGUGUGUCUUGAUAAGGGACGCGUCUAAGAAUCCACAGAAUGGGUUACGGGAAAAAAGAUCCGCCUCAUACUGUUGUUUUCCCUUUAUGUAGCGGACUUCAUACUCGUAACUCGAUAGCCGUAAACUCCAUCGAAACAAUCUGCUGGACGGGUUUUUGAUGGUCUUCAGCCAUUGCAAUGCGUGAUGGUCAGAAAAUAUAGUAAACUUUCUGCCCAUCAGAUAGAUGCGAAACUUCUCCACACUCUCAACGAUUGCUAAGCACUCAAGUUCAGAGAUGGAGUAGUUUUUCUCGUGUGGGCGCAAUGUUCGGCUGAAAAACUGAACUGGAUAUGCGUUCCCGUCAGGGUGAACCUGUUUGAGAAUGCCUGCUAUACCGAGGGUGGAUGCAUCGCAAUACACUUGGCAUGGCAGACCUUCUUUGUAAAGGUGUAAAAUGGGGUGUGGUGUGAGGUUCCCUUUCAGGUCAAUGAACGCCUUUUGGCAAGCUUCAUCCCAGAUCCACACGACAUCCUUUUUGAGGAGGUUAUUGAGUGGUGCUCGCAAGCGAGCGUAUUCCGGGAUGAAUUUGUUAUAGACGUUCACAGCGCCUAAGAAGGAUUGUAGUGUUUUUCGGUUGUGUGGUUGUUUAAUGGCGUGAAUGAUGUCUGUGUUGCGUGUGAGCGGUGUGGUUGUACCAGCUGUGAUGGUGUAGCCUAGGAAAUCUAUGGACUGCUUAAAAAAUUCGCAUUUCGCGAAGUUAAGUUGUAACUCCUCUGCUUCGCAAAAGGCGAAAAAUUGUCGCAGGUGGUUUUGAUGUUCCUCCAAUGUGUUGGAGUAAAUGAUGAAAUCAUCAAAGUAAUGUGCCACACAGUCAAGUCCGUGUCUCUGUAGGACCUGACUCAUGGCUCGUUCGUAGAUCUGAGGGCUGGUUUUUAAUCCGAAAGGUAAUCGAGUGGGUUGGUAUAACCCUUCGAGGGUGGCAAAUGCCAACAGUGGUCGAGAAUCGGGGUGUAUUGGGACCUGCCAAUACGCAGAGGAUAUGUCGGCCGUGGAGAAAUACUUGGCCUGUGCGAGGCGGUCGAGGAUAUCCUCGAUUCUCGGGAGGGGAUGGACAUCAGAGCUAAUUAGUUCGUUCACCUUUCUAUAAUCGAUACAAAACCGUUUGGUCUUGUCGCGCUUAGUGACGAGGGUGACAGGGCUCGAGAAAGGUGAAAAAGAUUGCUCUAUAAUGCCAUUCUCUAGCAUUUGUUGGACUUGAUUACGGAUUUCUUGUUGGUCACAUAUCGGAACACGAUAUGGUCGUAUGGUAAUUAUUUUGUCGGAAUUCGUGGGUAUUUUUACGGGUGGAAUCCUUAAGCAUGGUACGUUGAAUUUGUUCUGUGUGAAGAUGUGAUUGUAUCUUUGUAAAAGUGUUGUGAACUGGGGUGUAUAGAGAGGAUUGUGUGUCGUGUUGUAGCAUGUAUGUGGCAAAGGAUUUUGUUGGGUCUUAGUGUGAGUGUCGAGUUCGUUGUGUGGGUUGGUCAUGUGAUAGUUGUAUGACGACGUAUGAUCACCUAUGUGCUUGGUAUGCGAGUUGUCCCGCUGUAUGGGUAUUUUUGGGCAUUAUGGUUACCAAUUGAAGCCGUGGUGGCUUUGUUAUUUGAGGGCAUGUAAAAUAGGCAAUUGGCCUUAGUGAAAAAAUGGCAUGUAGAUAAGGGUGGUUUGUUCAAUGAAUGCACGCAAUGGUUGUCAUAGGCGGAAAGUUUGGCUGUAGGGUAAGAUCUUUGUGACAUUGCCAGUAGGUGCAUACAUUUGGUACAUGGUUAAAAUGGUAGGAUGGGGUAGACAAUGGGGCGCCCAGCUGGAAUAUAGUGCAUUUAUUAAAAUCUAUUUGUUCCAGCCUUAAAUAUGCAAAAUUGUUAGAAUUUACUUUUGUAAAUUAUUGUUAAAUUAUGUAAAUUUUAGAAAUGUAUAUAAUCUUGAUUUUAGAAAAUAAAGAUAGUUAUUGAGUUAUUAAGUAUACGUGGUUGAGUCAUUAGAGUUGGUGAGACAAGAGUUAUUAAGUAUACGUGGUUGAGUCAUUAGAGUUGGUGAGACAAGAGUUAUUAAUGUAUACGUGGUUGAGUCAUUAGAGUUAGUGAGACGAGACAAUAGCAGUUAUUCAAGUUUGAAUGAGUUAUAGUUAGCUCGCUGAGUCAAGAAGCAUAUAAUUAAAACCAGCGUUAAAAUAAAAAUUAGGCGGUGAUUCCUCCUUAGUGCCAGGAGGCCAAAGCCAGUUCGAUGCAUGGUCCCUCAAGAGCCUGAUUAGGAUUUGAAACAGAAGAAAUUUAGCAAAAACUCAGCGAGAAUACAAUUGCAAAUGUCUCGAGACGAAAGGAUCCUCCAAAGAAAGUUAAGUUACCAGAAAAGGAGAAUUGAUGGAUUUAUUGAAAGUGUGGAUUCAAUUAUUGAGGCAGGUGAAACAAUACGCUUAGAAAUAAUGGGUGAAGAAUUAAAGGAGAUCAAAGAAAAAAUUGAGAAACUCUACGACGAGCUGUUUUCUUUGGAUGAAGUUGAUAUAGAUAAAGAAAGUGAGGCAUGUGAUAGUUCAAUGAACAAGAUUGGAAGCUUGAGGGUAAAAAUAGAAAAUGAAAGAAAACUCAAAGACAAACUGGCGGACAUAAAGCCAAAUGGCUCUCAGGCAAAUAUAAAAUUGCCUCAAUUUGACUUACCGAUAUAUGAUGGAGAUAUGGGCAAUUGGAUCAACUUCAAAGAGCUAUUCCUCACCACCAUCGAUGCACAUCCAGGGUUAACUAAUAUACAGAAGUUACAAUAUUUGAAUUCUGCAGUAAAAGGCGAAGCGGCCAGAUUAAUAAGGGGUUUCCCUUUACUAAGUGAAAAUUAUGGCCAAGCAUGGAAUACACUGUUAUCAAGAUAUGAUAACCCGAGAGAGCUAGCUUAUGCCCAGGUGUCAAAAAUAUUUUCUCUCCGGGCAAUUAAGAAUCCAUCGGCUAAGUGUCUCCAUGAAUUCAUGGAUGUUUGUAAUGAAGCCAUAAGAAACUUAGAAACGCUGGAAUUGAAGAGAAAUAAAUUAGUGGAUGUGAUCCUGGUGCACUUCCUCCAGCAGAAGUUGAGUGAAAAUCUAAGGUUGGAUUGGGAACUGUCAGUGGACAACACUCUUCCUUCUUAUGACAAGUUCAUAGCGUUCAUUUCCAGACAUGCGA
This is a non-coding RNA of Cordylochernes scorpioides, 5793 nucleotides long. The record is from the annotation of a GenBank genome assembly. Lineage: Eukaryota; Metazoa; Arthropoda; Arachnida; Pseudoscorpiones; Chernetidae.